UUCCUCAGCUCUUCUGUCUGUCUUGAAAUCCUGAGGAUCAUGGUGUCAGUCUGAGCUCUGGGAGUCUGGAGAAAUCCCUGCCACACUGUAAAAGAAUUUACAGGAGCAACAAGAGUCUGAACUGUGCUGAAAUAAUCCUGAGAGCAUCACACUCCUCACACUGCAACAGCUGAAAGAGAAAAUUCCUCUGUACCUUCCACAGGCUGGAAACAGUGGCCUCAGAGAUGUCAGAGAGGUGAUUUAGUGCCGGGUUUCUAUGGAAGGUUCCUCCAUUCAGCUGUAAUUUAGAGCCAUUGCUUAAAUCCUUCCGAAAGUUCACUUCUGGGAGCUUCCCUGCUUUGU
RNAcentral lists this long non-coding RNA (342 nucleotides) under Cyanistes caeruleus (blue tit). RNAcentral's name for it is "lncRNA (ENSCCEG00000021220.1)". Lineage: Eukaryota; Metazoa; Chordata; Aves; Passeriformes; Paridae. The record is from RNAcentral.